This 224-nucleotide ribosomal RNA is filed under the name uncultured pozol bacterium #B17. RNAcentral describes it as "partial 16S small subunit ribosomal RNA". It matches the Rfam family "Bacterial small subunit ribosomal RNA", at positions 61 to 526 of the family's 1533-position model. The record is from RNAcentral.
UUUNGANUAUAGGNUUUGGUUCUUUUUCUUUUGGCCCNNNCCCCGGGNAAAUCUUCCACAAUGGACGAAAGUCUGAUGGGAGCAACGCCGCGUGAGUGAAGAAGGGUUUCGGCUCGUAAAACUCUGUUGUUAAAGAAGAACAUAUAUGAGAGUAACUGUUCAGGUAUUGACGGUAUUUAACCAGAAAGCCACGGCUAACUACGUGCCAGCAGCCGCGGUAAUAA